GUAGGUGGCAAGCGUUGUCCGGAUUUACUGGGUGUAAAGGGCGUGUAGGCGGGAUGGUAAGUCAGAUGUGAAAUACCGGGGCGCAACCCCGGGGCUGCAUUUGAAACUGCCGUUCUUGAGUGUCGGAGAGGAAAGCGGAAUUCCUAGUGUAGCGGUGAAAUGCGUAGAUAUUAGGAGGAACACCAGUGGCGAAGGCGGCUUUCUGGACGAUAACUGACGCUGAGGCGCGAAAGCGUGGGGAGCAAA
RNAcentral lists this ribosomal RNA (246 nucleotides) under uncultured bacterium. RNAcentral describes it as "partial 16S ribosomal RNA". It matches the Rfam family "Bacterial small subunit ribosomal RNA", at positions 527 to 772 of the family's 1533-position model. The record is from RNAcentral.